RNAcentral lists this small RNA (107 nucleotides) under Arabidopsis thaliana (thale cress). RNAcentral describes it as "ATSL299650". Lineage: Eukaryota; Viridiplantae; Streptophyta; Magnoliopsida; Brassicales; Brassicaceae. The record is from RNAcentral.
UUGAUUUAUUGGUCGCCAUCUCUCGCCCAACUUCACCUUCUCUGACAUAAUCACUACACCUUCUUCCUCUCUGUUUCUAUAUCAGAAACUUCAUCUUCCUCUCAAGU